AACGAACGCUGGCGGCAUGGAUUAGGCAUGCAAGUCGAACGAAGUAGCAAUACUUAGUGGCGGAAGGGUGAGGAACGCGUGAGUAACUUGCCUCCAAGUUGGGAGUAACAGUUGGAAACGGCUGCUAAUACCUGAUGUGGUUAUCUUUUCGCAUGAGAGGGUAACUAAAGAUUUAUCGCUUGGAGAUAGGCUCGCGUCCCAUUAGCUAGUUGGUGAGGUAACGGCUCACCAAGGCGACGAUGGGUAGCUGGUCUGAGAGGAUGGUCAGCCACACUGGGACUGAGACACUGCCCAGACUCCUACGGGAGGCUGCAGUCGAGAAUCUUGGGCAAUGCGCGAAAGCGUGACCCAGCAAUGCCGCGUGCAGGAUGAAGGUUUUCGGAUUGUAAACCUCUGUUUUUAGUGAAGAAACAAAUGACGGUAGCUAAAGAGGAAGCCACGGCUAACUACGUG
Molecule: ribosomal RNA, 453 nt
Filed under: uncultured bacterium
Lineage: Bacteria
Description: bacterial SSU rRNA
Rfam family: Bacterial small subunit ribosomal RNA
Source: RNAcentral